GAGCACUAAAGUACAAACCCUCGGCUGGUGACAUGAUUACAAAGAAACCAGAGGAGUGAUAUAAUACAGUGCAUGUAGUGCAGAUGUUAUCAUGUUCGAUAUGUAUGAUUUGUCUAGCACAGAACCAGACUGGAGGCAUGCUGAAACAUUUGAGAACAGGGUUUUAGUGGCACAUAGAUAUAUGCACUGUGGACUAGGAUCACAGCAAAGAAGUCUCAGAGAAGUAUGGCUCCUGCAUGGAUCCCAGAGUCAGCUAUCACAUUCUAUAUAGAGGUUAUGCAGAUUCGCUCAAAAAGCAUGAAAAAGGGUAGCCUCGAUCCCAGGCCGAGUUUUCGCUUUUAUAACGGUUAGGCGAACAACUGGGCCUGGUACUAGUUGUCUGCGCAUGCGUCAGUCGUUCGUCAGAUUCUGACGAAUGGAUAUUCUCGUUCACUUUCGUGACAUUUAUAUUUGUGUACUAUCGUGUACUAGAAGUCAGUUCCCGUUUUAUCAUUAUUUGGAAUGGCUCUUAGCUGAAGCUUCUCUCUUCUCUGAAGCUUAUUCUGAAGACUGAACAACAAGGGAAGAGGUAUAAAGCUUUGUCAAGCUUGUUAAGGUCAGAUAUUUUGUGUGGGCCCUAUGGCCGGCUAUGCUAUCAAGUCUUGUUCAUGUUUGGCAAGAAUGUAGGUAGACUAUAGUUUCAUCAUUAAUAUGGUGGAUCAAGUGAAGAGUGUGAGCUAGAGAACUUGGUGCUGCCAUCAUCAGCUCGUCGACAAUGACACUAUAACCGAGAAAUUUAAUAUGUAUAGAUCUACACGUAUUUAAAAUGUCUACUUCUCUGUACAGGAGCAAUGGCUAAUAUCCAGCUAUCCCAACAGUGCUCCUCUUGGCUAUACUAACGGACGAGACUGGACAGUUUGAGACACAGGACUGGAGUAUGACCUGCUCAUUCGAGCGUUGCUGGGUAGCUCAGAGACAUCAAGAGAAUCUACGUUUUCUCAAGCAAUGAGUUACGAGUUGGGGCCUAGAAUCAGAGAAGUCCAGCAGCCUGCUAAAUCUUUUUGAAACGUAAUUUGAAGGCAUUCAAUCAUCCUGAAGUUGCCCUGGGUCACUGUAAUUGUGCUGCAGCACAACUGGCAACUCCCCAGGCCUUUGUGAAGCAGCUCCCUAUGUGCAUCUUUUGUGUACUCACUCUGUGCAUUUUCUGUGUACAAAUUUCCAUUAUUGAUUUAUUAAAUAUUUUUGCCGACCACAAA
Molecule: long non-coding RNA, 1235 nt
Organism: Halichondria panicea
Lineage: Eukaryota; Metazoa; Porifera; Demospongiae; Suberitida; Halichondriidae
Exons: 2
Source: RefSeq, a predicted model, not a curated record